CAAGAAGUAGUUUAAGCAGAAUAUCAGCUUUGGGUGUUGAUGGUGAGGAGGUUUUCCUUCUUCUUGA
RNAcentral lists this transfer RNA (67 nucleotides) under Chiropodomys gliroides (Indomalayan pencil-tailed tree mouse). RNAcentral describes it as "tRNA-Pro". Lineage: Eukaryota; Metazoa; Chordata; Mammalia; Rodentia; Muridae. The record is from RNAcentral.